This 333-nucleotide ribosomal RNA is filed under the name Triticum aestivum (bread wheat). RNAcentral's name for it is "partial small subunit ribosomal RNA". Lineage: Eukaryota; Viridiplantae; Streptophyta; Magnoliopsida; Poales; Poaceae. The record is from RNAcentral.
AUAGUGAAUGGGAGAAGAUGGAAGAACACCAUCUUCUCUCUUAGUUGUGGUGAUGAGGUGAUAGAGGGGACCAAAAGUCUAUCAAACCAUGCCAUAGAAUUCUAUAAGGACCUUUUUGGGCCUGCAUUUGGGAAUCUUUGCAUGUUGGGGGAUAAAAUGUGGGGACCAAAUGAGAAGUUAUCAGAUAUUGAUAACUUUAUCCUUACUAGACCAUUUUCUAAAACUGAGAUAAAGAAUGCUCUCUUCUCUAUGAAACCAAACAAAGCACUAGGUCCAGAUAACAUCCCUAUUGAAUUUUUCAACAUUGUUGGGAUAUUGUUAAGGGUGAGGUGA